Molecule: ribosomal RNA, 310 nt
Filed under: Zorocrates sp. MR12
Lineage: Eukaryota; Metazoa; Arthropoda; Arachnida; Araneae; Zoropsidae
Description: partial 12S ribosomal RNA
Source: RNAcentral
AGGUAGUAAUUUUAAACCUAUUUAUUUUGGCGGCAUCAAACCUAAUUAGAGGAAUUUGUCUAUUAAUCGACAACCCACGAUAAUUUUCACUUUAAAUAAAAAUCCAUAUACCGCCAUCUAUUUGAACUAAUAAAAAAAUCCUAUUCCAAAUAAAAAAUAAAAAUCUAGGUCAAGGUGUGAUCAAUUUUAAAGGCUAUGAUGAAUUACAUUAAAUAUAAUUUAAGAAUUUCCAAUUUAAAUAAUUUUAAUGAAAAAGGAUUUAAUAGUAAAAAAAAACCAAUAUUUUUUUUAGAAAAAGAAAAAAAUGUGC